GAUGAACGCUGGCGGCGUGCCUAACACAUGCAAGUCGAACGAAGCUACAUUUUACGAUCCCUUCGGGGUGACGAAUUGUAGACUGAGUGGCGGACGGGUGAGUAACGCGUGGGCAACCUGCCCUAUACCGGGGGAUAGCAGCUGGAAACGGCUGAUAAUACCGCAUAAGCGCACAGAGAGACAUCUCUUAGUGUGAAAAACUCCGGUGGUAUAGGAUGGACCCGCGUCUGAUUAGCCAGUUGGUGAGGUAAAGGCCCACCAAAGCGAAGAUCAGUAGCCGACCUGAGAGGGUGACCGGCCACAUUGGGACUGAGACACGGCCCAAACUCCUACGGGAGGCAGCAGUGGCGAAUAUUGCACAAUGGGCGAAAGCCUGAUGCAGCGACGCCGCGUGAGUGAUGAAGUAUUUCGGUAUGUAAAGCUCUAUCAGCAGGGAAGAAAAUGACGGUACCUGACUAAGAAGCUCCGGCUAAAUACGUGCCAGCCGCCGCAGUAA
Molecule: ribosomal RNA, 496 nt
Filed under: uncultured bacterium
Lineage: Bacteria
Description: partial 16S ribosomal RNA
Rfam family: Bacterial small subunit ribosomal RNA
Source: RNAcentral